ACUUCGGUGGGGAUUAGUGGCGAACGGGUGAGUAACACGUGGGCAAUCUGCCCUGCACUCUGGGACAAGCCCUGGAAACGGGGUCUAAUACCGGAUAUGAGCCUCCAUGGCAUCUUGGAGGCUGUAAAGCUCCGGCGGUGCAGGAUGAGCCCGCGGCCUAUCAGCUUGUUGGUGAGGUAAUGGCUCACCAAGGCGACGACGGGUAGCCGGCCUGAGAGGGCGACCGGCCACACUGGGACUGAGACACGGCCCAGACUCCUACGGGAGGCAGCAGUGGGGAAUAUUGCACAAUGGGCGAAAGCCUGAUGCAGCGACGCCGCGUGAGGGAUGACGGCCUUCGGGUUGUAAACCUCUUUCAGCAUGGAAGAAGCGAAAGUGACGGUACCUGCAGAAAAAGCGCCGGCUAACUACGUGCCAGCAUCCGCGGUAAUA
This 432-nucleotide ribosomal RNA is filed under the name bacterium 96-L049393-122-001-H12. RNAcentral's name for it is "bacterial SSU rRNA". It matches the Rfam family "Bacterial small subunit ribosomal RNA", at positions 77 to 525 of the family's 1533-position model. The record is from RNAcentral.